Molecule: RNA transcript, 897 nt
Organism: Argiope bruennichi
Lineage: Eukaryota; Metazoa; Arthropoda; Arachnida; Araneae; Araneidae
Exons: 3
Source: RefSeq, a predicted model, not a curated record
AGUGACAUUAUCCAAACAGUGUGUUUUCAAAGAUGAGAGUAAUUACUUGCUGUUGUAGAUGAGUGCAUGAAAUGUUUAAAAAAUGUAUUCAAAUCUGAAUAUCCAAGCUGAAAUUGGAAAUGUCUUCAAGAGUUCGCGAAUUCAGCAUGACUUGAGUGCGGUUGUGUUUUCCGGAAGAUCUGGCAAAAGAUUCGCUAAAACAUAACUUAAUAAAGACCGAAGCUUCGAAAAUCAGGCAGUGCUGAAAACGCAUUUUGGCAAUGGCGGUUCAAAAUUCUACUACAUAUAUUUCCGAGAAUUCAUUUUGGAGUUUUGUAUAAAAUCGGCUGACGAAAUCUAUGCAGAUGGUAAUAAUUAUGGAAGAGGGUUACUGACUUUGUAACAAAAUAAACAAAUGUAACAAUAGAAUAAUUUUUUUUUUCAUAAAACUAUGUACAAAAAAAUAUUAAAAGAACAAGAUUUUUUUUCUCUCUUCUGAUCAGCAUAUGUCAAUUGCAGAGUCAAGAAACUGCAGGUUCACGAAUGGAGUGACAACCGGUGCCAUCAACUGAAUGAUUUGCACAUCAACAGAAUCGUGGAACAGACAGCCACGCCAAUCAAAAACAAAAUUAUAGAACAGAAGAUUAGACGAAAUCAGAGUGGUCGUAACUUACCUGGGGAUAUGGGCUGUUCGUACUGCCUUUCUUGCCCUGAAAAGCAAAAAGAAGACAAUAAUAAGAAUCUUUAAUAACAAUAAAGACGCUUCAUAAUGAUUUCAUGGCCUGCCAAUUUUUUUUCUUCUUCUUUUUAUGAUUCUGUCAAUGACGGAAAUUAGGUAGGAUAAUUUCAGAAUUAGCCGAUGGUAGAAAAGCAAAGAUAAAGAUUAUUAAGCUUCUUUUAUUUGUUAAUAAUAAAGGC